GACGAACGCUGGCGGCGUGCUUAACACAUGCAAGUCGAACGGUAAGGCCCUUUCGGGGGUCCACGAGUGGCGAACGGGUGAGUAACACGUGGGUGAUCUGCCCUGCACUUUGGGAUAAGCCUGGGAAACUGGGUCUAAUACCGGAUAGGACUACGCGAUGCAUGUCGUGUGGUGGAAAGCUUUUGCGGUGUGGGAUGGGCCCGCGGCCUAUCAGCUUGUUGGUGGGGUGAUGGCCUACCAAGGCGACGACGGGUAGCCGGCCUGAGAGGGUGUCCGGCCACACUGGGACUGAGAUACGGCCCAGACUCCUACGGGAGGCAGCAGUGGGGAAUAUUGCACAAUGGGCGCAAGCCUGAUGCAGCGACGCCGCGUGGGGGAUGACGGCCUUCGGGUUGUAAACCCCUUUCAGCACAGACGAAGCGUAAGUGACGGUAGGUGCAGAAGAAGCACCGGCCAACUACGUG
This 464-nucleotide ribosomal RNA is filed under the name uncultured bacterium. Its description in RNAcentral is "partial 16S ribosomal RNA". It matches the Rfam family "Bacterial small subunit ribosomal RNA", at positions 28 to 507 of the family's 1533-position model. The record is from RNAcentral.